RNAcentral lists this ribosomal RNA (176 nucleotides) under Ochropleura plecta. RNAcentral's name for it is "partial large subunit ribosomal RNA". The record is from RNAcentral. Lineage: Eukaryota; Metazoa; Arthropoda; Insecta; Lepidoptera; Noctuidae.
GGGACGAGAAGACCCUAUAGAGUUUUAUAUAUAAUUUAAUUAAGAUUAUUUUUUAAUUAAAAUUGAAAUUAAAUUAUAUAUUUUGUUGGGGUGACAGAAAAAUAAGUAAAACUUUUUUAUUUUAAAAACAUAUAUAAGUGAUUAAAUGAUCCAAUAAUAUUGAUUAUAAGAAAAAA